AUACAUAUACAUAUAUAUCAUUUGCUAGUUUUGAAUACAAUUUGAAUAUAAUCUAGUUUAGUUUUAGUUUAGCUUAUGUUGCCCCACUGUGCUGUGGCCGCUGCCCAAUGGCGCCGCAGCUUUAGCUUCUCUUCUUCUUCCACUUCUUCUUUUGCUGCUUAUCUAAUUCAUUU
Long non-coding RNA from Drosophila navojoa, 173 nucleotides. Lineage: Eukaryota; Metazoa; Arthropoda; Insecta; Diptera; Drosophilidae. The record is from RefSeq and is a predicted model, not a curated record.